Molecule: ribosomal RNA, 363 nt
Filed under: Triticum aestivum (bread wheat)
Lineage: Eukaryota; Viridiplantae; Streptophyta; Magnoliopsida; Poales; Poaceae
Description: partial small subunit ribosomal RNA
Source: RNAcentral
AUGGAUGUUGUCACUGCUUACCUAUAUGGUAACUUGGAUUCGAACAUAUACAUGAAGGUUCCAGAAGGUAUCCCUGUUCCGAACCAUGAUAGAGCAAAUAGGGGUCUAUACAGUGUUCAACUUCAAAAGGCACUGUACGGACUCAGACAGUCCGGUAGAAUGUGGUACAAUCGCUUAAGUGAUUUCCUUCAUGAGAAGGGCUACACGAGCAAUAAAGAUUGCCCAUGUGUUUUUAUACGGCGAUCCCAAGAUGGAUUCUGUAUAAUCUCGGUGUACGUGGACGAUUUAAACAUAAUCGGUACACCUGAGGAUAUUGAGGAAGCGAGUUCCUACCUGAUGUCGGAAUUCGAGAUGAAGGAUUUG